Molecule: ribosomal RNA, 253 nt
Filed under: uncultured bacterium
Lineage: Bacteria
Description: partial 16S ribosomal RNA
Rfam family: Bacterial small subunit ribosomal RNA
Source: RNAcentral
UACGAAGGGGGCUAGCGUUGCUCGGAAUCACUGGGCGUAAAGCGCACGUAGGCGGACUUUUAAGUCAGGGGUGAAAUCCUGGGGCUCAACUCCAGAACUGCCUUUGAUACUGGAAGUCUUGAGUCCGGAAGAGGUAAGUGGAACUGCGAGUGUAGAGGUGAAAUUCGUAGAUAUUCGCAAGAACACCAGUGGCGAAGGCGGCUUACUGGUCCGGUUCUGACGCUGAGGCGCGAAAGCGUGGGGAGCAAACAGG